GAUUUCUUCUUAGUGUCGAGG
RNAcentral lists this small nuclear RNA (21 nucleotides) under Arabidopsis thaliana (thale cress). RNAcentral describes it as "snRNA_15918". The record is from RNAcentral. Lineage: Eukaryota; Viridiplantae; Streptophyta; Magnoliopsida; Brassicales; Brassicaceae.